UAAUAAUAUUCUCGAGAAUGAAAAUGCAUCUUACUGUGACUUAUUUGUUAGUUUGCUGUAAGGUCUCGAAUACAUUGCUUUGCAUUCUUCUCAUCUUGCAUUAUCAGAUGAUUUUAUCAUUCAUCAGAGCCUUUAUAAACUUUGACAAUUUAUAAAAUAAUUAUUCUCUUCUCUCUUUUCCAGUGUCGAUUGCCGUCUGAUUGUUGUAGUUUGUGUCUACAGCAGCUACUGUAUAUACACCCCAAAGGCUCUUUUAAGAGCCACAUCACGAGAGCGUCUUUGGCUUUUGGCACCUACAUACAACCCAAGGCUCUUUUCAGAGCCACAUCGCCCAGCAUCCUUGGCUUUCACCUACAUACACCCCAAGGCUCUUUUCAGAGCCACUCGCCUAGCAUCACACAGCAUUAUUUUGUGUCACCCUUCACUGCCGCCUCCACAGAGUUUUUUCCCUGCCAUCUAUUACUUUAAGCAAGGCACAUCUAUGGCCAAUCCUCUGUGCCAUUCAUCAGACACCAUCAGAGUUUUUCCAGUGAAACCGACACUUGGUCCAUCCAAGCCAACAAACCCGAAUUUCAUGAAGAAUCCAUAAACGACAAUCAAGAAGUUCUUGGAAGUGCUUAGAAGGGGGAAAAAAAAUAACAUUAACUUUCUUGAGAACUAGAAAUAUAAAUUUACUGAUUUACUGACAUUUACUUCACAUGUCGACAAAAACUGUUACCGUAAUUAGGAUGUUGCUCAUUAACCACAUUCAUGUUAACCUAUCUAUGUUUUUUUUUUUUUUUACUGUAAAAUAUUCAGAUUUUUUUCCUAUGAUGUACAAGGCUUUGAUUUUCAAAUUAUGCCUUUACUGUUUUAUAUACAAUAAUGAAUCCAUAUUUUAAUGUUUAAUAUACUGUACAUACUUAAAUUCAUUAAACUCUGAUGGCGUUCGAGAUAAAGGUAUUAAACCUCCUGA
Long non-coding RNA from Cyprinus carpio (common carp), 955 nucleotides. RefSeq lists it as uncharacterized. The transcript is spliced from 6 exons. The record is from RefSeq and is a predicted model, not a curated record. NCBI's taxonomy places the organism in Eukaryota, Metazoa, Chordata, Actinopteri, Cypriniformes, Cyprinidae.